GUAGUCUCGCACAGAUGCAUAUCAAUAAGCGGAGGAAAAGAAACUAACAAGGAUUCCCCUAGUAACGGCGAGUGAAGCGGGAAGAGCUCAAAUUUGAAAUCUUAAAGGGUUUCCCUUUACGAAUUGUAGUUUAAAGAAGUGUUUUCUGUUGAGGUUUUGGUAAAAGUUCUUUGGAAUAGGACAUCAUAGAGGGUGAGAAUCCCGUAUUUGACCUUUACUUUCAACUUUGUGAUACACUUUCAAAGAGUCGGAUUGUUUGGGAAUGCAGUCCAAAAUGGGUGGUAAAUUUCAUCUAAAGCUAAAUAUUGGCGAGAGACCGAUAGCGAACAAGUACCGUGAGGGAAAGAUGAAAAGAACUUUGAAAAGAGAGUUAAACAGUACGUGAAAUUGUCAAAAGGGAAGCGUUUGACACCAGUGUUGUUUUUCUGAAAAUCAAUUAAAGAACUGUUUAUGCUAAGCUGUCUAGACUUUAUCAGCUAUCUGCUUAGUUUUGAGCUUUUCUUUAAUGCACUUUUCAGUUAACAAGUCAACAUCAAUUUCUUUUGCUGUAAAAAAGCUUGAGGAAGGUGGCUUGAGAUUCGUCUUAAGUGUUUAUAGCCUCUUGCCUAUGCAGUCGGAGAGAUUGAGGUCUGCAGCGUAGAUCCUUCGGGGCUAAAUGCAUUUGUGCUAAGUUAUAGCAUUUUAUAGACAACUUGUUGACUAUGAUUUGUCUUGUAGCUUACUCGCUUAUGUUAUUUUACCUACGCUUAGGAUGUUGACGCAUGAGAUAUACGC
RNAcentral lists this ribosomal RNA (774 nucleotides) under uncultured Neocallimastigales. RNAcentral's name for it is "partial large subunit ribosomal RNA". It matches the Rfam family "Eukaryotic large subunit ribosomal RNA", at positions 24 to 647 of the family's 3401-position model. The record is from RNAcentral. Lineage: Eukaryota; Fungi; Neocallimastigomycota; Neocallimastigomycetes; Neocallimastigales.